This 497-nucleotide ribosomal RNA is filed under the name uncultured bacterium. RNAcentral's name for it is "partial 16S ribosomal RNA". It matches the Rfam family "Bacterial small subunit ribosomal RNA", at positions 28 to 507 of the family's 1533-position model. The record is from RNAcentral.
GAUGAACGCUGGCGGCGUGCCUAAUACAUGCAAGUCGAGCGAACAGAUGAGGAGCUUGCUCCUCUGACGUUAGCGGCGGACGGGUGAGUAACACGUGGAUAACCUACCUAUAAGACUGGGAUAACUUCGGGAAACCGGAGCUAAUACCGGAUAAUAUAUUGAACCGCAUGGUUCAAUAGUGAAAGACGGUUUUGCUGUCACUUAUAGAUGGAUCCGCGCCGCAUUAGCUAGUUGGUAAGGUAACGGCUUACCAAGGCAACGAUGCGUAGCCGACCUGAGAGGGUGAUAGGCCACACUGGAACUGAGACACGGUCCAGACUCCUACGGGAGGAAGCAGUAGGGAAUCUUACGCAAUGGGCGAAAGCCUGACGGAGCAACGCCGCGUGAGUGAUGAAGGUCUUCGGAUCGUAAAACUCUGUUAUUAGGGAAGAACAAAUGUGUAAGUAACUAUGCACGUCUUGACGGUACCUAAUCAGAAAGCCACGGCUAACUACGUG